AUUGAACGCUGGCGGCAGGCCUAACACAUGCAAGUCGAGCGGAUGAACGGAGCUUUCUCCCGGAUUCCGCGGCGGACGGGUGAGUAAUGCCCAGGAAUCUGCCUGGUAUUGGGGGAUAACGUCCGGAAACGGGCGCUAAUAUCGCACACGCCCUGAGGGAGAAAGUGGGGGAUCUUUGGACCCCACGCUAUCAGAUGAGCCUAGGUCGGAUUAGCUAGUUGGUGGGGUAAAGGCCUACCAAGGCGACGAUCCGUAGCUGGUCUGAGAGGAUGAUCAGUCACACUGGAACUGAGACACGGUCCAGACUCCUACGGGAGGCAGCAGUGGGGAAUAUUGGACAAUGGGCGAAAGCCUGAUCCAGCCAUGCCGCGUGUGUGAAGAAGGUCUUCGGAUUGUAAAGCACUUUUAGUUGGGAAGAAGGGCAGUGAGUUAAUACCUUCCUGUUUUGACGUUACCAAAAGAAUAAGCACCGGCUAACUUCGUG
RNAcentral lists this ribosomal RNA (484 nucleotides) under uncultured bacterium. RNAcentral's name for it is "partial 16S ribosomal RNA". It matches the Rfam family "Bacterial small subunit ribosomal RNA", at positions 30 to 507 of the family's 1533-position model. The record is from RNAcentral.